Long non-coding RNA from Ostrea edulis (European flat oyster), 2134 nucleotides. RefSeq lists it as uncharacterized. The record is from RefSeq and is a predicted model, not a curated record. NCBI's taxonomy places the organism in Eukaryota, Metazoa, Mollusca, Bivalvia, Ostreida, Ostreidae. The transcript has 2 exons.
GAUCUUUCCAUGCAUGCAAGGUGAAGAUAACGAACAGUGAUCAAUCUCAUAACUCAUAAAAGCAAUGCAAAAUAGAUAGUUGGGCAAACACGGACCCCUGGACACACCGGAGGUGGGAUCAGGUGCCUAGGAGGAGUAAGCAUCGCCUGUUGACCGGUCACACCCGCUGAGAGCCCUAUAUCUUGAUCAGGUAAACGGAGUUAUCCGCAGUCAAAAUCAGUGUGCCAAGAACGGCUUAACAAUCGGUAUGAAACACGUCAGGUUUAUAGUACAUAGGUUGUAAUUAAUUUAUAUACCUGAUGAUUUUAAGAACCAUAUUUCUUAUAGCUAGAAAUACCACUAUUUUCUUAGUCAGUGUCUUUGACAAUUUACUAAUUAAAGAACUGUGUAUACCUAAGUUUACAUGAUUAUUUUCAAGUGAUUGAAAAUCCCAUUCAGAAACAAAACGUCUCUUUCGUGUCGCACUCUUUGUGGAUCUACCUCUAGAUCAGGCAGUGGUCCUACGGAAUUUAUGCCACUUUUCUUUUUGUCAGUUCACUACAGAAAGGCUCCUCAUACAGAACUUCGUGAUUUUUUGUCAUUCCCUUUGAAAUCGAUGUGCAACCUACAUGUUCUAAUUCCUUUGUGAUUUACAGUGAAACUGUCGUAUUAUUGUAGGCGCUACCUUCUUCUGUAUAGUCUCCGUAUUCUGCAAAACAAAUAUGGUAUAUAACUAUUUAUUCCAAAGUGUGUCAUUUUUCUCUGAUUUUAUGUAAUGGUUGAUGGACAAUGGCACGACGUUUUCGAAAAAACCCCAAAAAACAACAGACAGCGUACUUUUCUCCGGUUGUACCUUCUACCUUGAAAGACUUGAGCUUGGGUACCUGCACCACAUUUGCUUUUUCUUCCACAAUGUCGACGUAUUUUUGCACUCCAUCUAUGGUUCUGAAGUAUUAUUAACCCCAUCCUUCUUUUCUGUAGGAACAUCUUUCAUUUCCUUUGAUGUACGAAACGAUGUCAGCAGGAUCACAUGUCACUUCUGUAAAUUCUAUUUCAUCUUCCUCAAGUCUUGCUGUGGAAUAUGUUUCAAAGAGAAAAUUGUCAUAAUUCACACCGACCCCCUCAAAAUUCCAUUAUACCUGUGACUCUGGUUCAUAUGUAAAGCUAGUACAGUGGCACCAACUGUUACUUGUUUCCACUCAAAUCAUCGCUUAAUGACUGUAAGUUCUGCCUCUGAAGCGUUGUUGGUAAUAUCUUAAAAGGGAUAAUAAAGCCCGUAUGAUUCCGUCCAUAUACACUGGAAUUAUAGAACUGGUACCAUUACGUCGCAACGAUAAUGCAGGAUGGAAGAUUUGGUAUUUCCUCCGAAACGACCUUUCGUUUAGAUUAAAAACAAUUAGUAUUUGGACCUUUCUAUUGGCAGAGCAUUUAUCUGUGGUAAACUUCAUAGGACGUGGGCUUAACUGUAUCUUUUCAUGAGUCAUGUAUCCAUUGAAUAAGAGUGUCUGAAAAUUACAUUAUUAUCUUAAAUUUAACUACAUCUUGGUCACUAACAUCCAGAAGCCUUCCAAAUCCAUCUAAAAGAACCUAUUCUUUGAGGUUCCGCAUACAUGGUAUUUCUGACUUGUUUCAUGUUUCGAGAUUUACCACUGUCAUGAUCGUGUGCAGGAUUGGACAAAACAAGAUGGCAGACGGCAUUUCCAAAUAAAGAUCCAGUCAGGAGCGGACUUCCUUAAGCUUAAAAGUUGCAAGUGAAUGAAGUGUGUUCUAUUUUAUGUCUCCUACUAAAACCAUGGUUUUGACAAACCUAAAAGAGCACGUGGAGCAAGGAACUAUCAGUAAGCCGGAAGAGCCAGCUCGAAAAUCUUUAAGUGUUUGAGAAUUUCACCGCGCACAUGAAUCUAAACUUCUGCCACACGUUAGAAGGAGCCUUGUUCUCGAAGAUCAACAUGUUGAAAAGUCUUCAUUUUGCAGAAGUAAAUACAUUUAUAUUGUAUAUACACAUGUAGACCAUGUUCGAUUCCCAACCACUUAACAUUUGUGAUAUCUGCAUGGAAUUAUUAAAACUGAGCAUGGUUUGACGUAUAAUAAUCUCUUCAGGCAUGAUGGUUUACAUUUCACAAAGCUUUCAAUGACAAUAAAGACAAUAAGAUGU